RNAcentral lists this ribosomal RNA (482 nucleotides) under uncultured bacterium. RNAcentral describes it as "partial 16S ribosomal RNA". It matches the Rfam family "Bacterial small subunit ribosomal RNA", at positions 28 to 507 of the family's 1533-position model. The record is from RNAcentral.
GACGAACGCUGGCGGCGUGCCUAACACAUGCAAGUCGAACGGAACUGUUUUGAAAGAUUUCUUCGGAAUGAAUUUGAUUUAGUUUAGUGGCGGACGGGUGAGUAACGCGUGAGUAACCUGCCUUCAAGAGGGGAAUAACAUUCUGAAAAGAAUGCUAAUACCGCAUGACAUAUCGGAACCACAUGGUUUUGAUAUCAAAGAUUUUAUCGCUUGAAGAUGGACUCGCGUCCGAUUAGUUAGUUGGUGAGGUAACGGCUCACCAAGACCGCGAUCGGUAGCCGGACUGAGAGGUUGAACGGCCACAUUGGGACUGAGACACGGCCCAGACACCUACGGGAGGCAGCAGUGGGGGAUAUUGCGCAAUGGGGGCAACCCUGACGCAGCUACGCCGCGUGAAGGAUGAAGGUUUUCGGAUUGUAAACUUCUUUUAUUAAGGACGAAAAAUGACGGUACUUAAUGAAUAAGCUCCGGCUAACUACGUG